RNAcentral lists this ribosomal RNA (437 nucleotides) under uncultured bacterium. RNAcentral describes it as "partial 16S ribosomal RNA". It matches the Rfam family "Bacterial small subunit ribosomal RNA", at positions 29 to 507 of the family's 1533-position model. The record is from RNAcentral.
AGCGAACGCUGGCGGCAGGCUUAACACAUGCAAGUCGAGCGGGCAUCCUUGUGGUGUCAGCGGCAGACGGGUGAGUAACGCGUGGGAACGUGCCCUUCGGUUCGGAAUAACUCAGGGAAACUUGAGCUAAUACCGGAUACGUGCGAGAGCAGAAAGGUUUAUCUGCCGAAGGAUCGGCCCGCGUCUGAUUAGCUAGUUGGUGAGGUUAUGGCUCACCAAGGCGACGAUCAGUAGCUGGUCUGAGAGGAUGAUCAGCCACACUGGGACUGAGACACGGCCCAGACUCCUACGGGAGGCAGCAGUGGGGAAUAUUGGACAAUGGGGGCAACCCUGAUCCAGCCAUGCCGCGUGAGUGAUGACGGCCUUAGGGUUGUAAAGCUCUUUUCUCCGGGACGAUAAUGACGGUACCGAAGGAAUAAGCCCCGGCUAACUUCGUG